ACAAAAAUAAAAACACGCAGCAACCCAAUAAAAACAACACGUACCGGCUCUGACACAACAAGAACAACACGGACAGAGACGUAGCUAACAGAUUUUUUUGGAGUGGACAGCUUUUCUGAACUGCUUGCCUUGCAAGUCGUUCUGCAGCCAGACAGAGAAUAACAAAACUGCCCUGAGGCAGCUCCCGAACUGGUUGGAUCACAUGAUGAAAGCUUGAUCAGCGCUCAAAAAAAUACGUUUGCUCUUGGUCCCGCAUGCGGACCGCUCAAAAAAGCAGUAAAGGGCCAGGUCGCAAAAAACAACAACAGGCCACCCGAAAAACAAAAAAGAGCAUAGAGACAUACCUUGAAGGGGAGCCCAGGCUCCCCUUCGUGCUUUCCAGCGUUUGCUUUUGCCUCCCGAC
Molecule: small RNA, 403 nt
Filed under: Pseudomonas savastanoi pv. phaseolicola
Lineage: Bacteria; Pseudomonadati; Pseudomonadota; Gammaproteobacteria; Pseudomonadales; Pseudomonadaceae
Description: CrcZ
Rfam family: Pseudomonas sRNA CrcZ
Source: RNAcentral